Long non-coding RNA from Mauremys reevesii (Reeves's turtle), 390 nucleotides. RefSeq lists it as uncharacterized. The record is from RefSeq and is a predicted model, not a curated record. The transcript has 3 exons. NCBI's taxonomy places the organism in Eukaryota, Metazoa, Chordata, Testudines, Geoemydidae.
GACAUGGCAGGAAAGAUUUGCAAUUGAAAUCACCAAAAUGUGUUUGGAUUGGUUCAUGGUAAUGAGGCUGGAUUGAUAAUACAGCGUGAUAAACUCUCUUUCCCUGAAUUCAACUGGGCCGAUCACUUUGGGCUCCUGAGACUCUGGGAGGCAUGGAAAGCCUCAGCGCAAAUCCCUGACCUCGGAUGUAAUCAAAUAAUGAGGCUGUUUGAGGACAUUACUUGUUAACAUAUUAACAGUUAGAAAGUUUCAGUUAUCCAAUCAAGCGGCAGAAAAAACAAUACCACGUGGCUUAAAAGACCAAACAGACACCGCGAUUAAAGAAUGUGAACUGAUGGCAAACAACCCAACAGACCAAAGAUUGGUUGUUCAAGCUACCUAGCAAAGAGC